GACAGAGGGUGCAAACGUUGUUCGGAUUUACUGGGCGUAAAGCGCGUGUAGGCGGCUUGGCAAGUUGAAUGUGAAAGCCCACGGCUCAACCGUGGAAGCGCAUCCAAAAACUGCUUCGCUUGAGUCUCGGAGAGGAAGGUGGAAUGCUUGGUGUAGAGGUGAAAUUCGUAGAUAUCAAGCAGAACACCUGCGGCGAAGGCGGCCUUCUGGACGAUGACUGACGCUGAGACGCGAAAGCGUGGGGAGCAAACAGG
RNAcentral lists this ribosomal RNA (254 nucleotides) under uncultured bacterium. RNAcentral describes it as "partial 16S ribosomal RNA". It matches the Rfam family "Bacterial small subunit ribosomal RNA", at positions 524 to 776 of the family's 1533-position model. The record is from RNAcentral.